UUCAACAGGGGUGAAAUCUGUAUACACCGUGAAUUUUUUGAUUAAAGUACCUUUUAGGUGGUCAAAUGACUAGGAUUAGAUACCCUAUUAGUCCACUCUUAAUUAACCUGGGUAGUAGUAUCGAAACCUAAAGAAUUUGGCGGUUUCUAAACCUACUAGAGGAACCUGCCCCAUAAACGACAAUCCACGAAAAAAUUCACCCGGGCUAGUUAUGCAGCUUAUAUACCGUCGUUCAGAGGACUAAAUAAAUAGAUCCUCUUAAAAGCUUAGGCUAAUAAAUCAGAUCAAGGUGUAGCUUAUGCCCGGGAGAGGGUGGGUUACAAUGAAAAUUUAUACGGAACUUCUAUUUUAUGAUAGAAAAGAAGGUGGAUUUAGAAGUAAGACUUAAUAUACUGAAAAAGGCUCUCAGAAAUGUACAC
This 419-nucleotide ribosomal RNA is filed under the name Artemia urmiana. Its description in RNAcentral is "partial small subunit ribosomal RNA". Lineage: Eukaryota; Metazoa; Arthropoda; Branchiopoda; Anostraca; Artemiidae. The record is from RNAcentral.